GGCCACAUUAUACUGAUGCACUAGUUCCUGUACAAUCACCGAAGAUAAGCAAUGUUGAGUCUGGUCAGUACCUAAAUGAGUGACCACUUGGGAAUACCAGGUGCUGUAA
Molecule: non-coding RNA, 109 nt
Organism: Acanthosepion pharaonis
Lineage: Eukaryota; Metazoa; Mollusca; Cephalopoda; Sepiida; Sepiidae
Source: the annotation of a GenBank genome assembly